Molecule: long non-coding RNA, 1111 nt
Organism: Lethenteron reissneri (Far Eastern brook lamprey)
Lineage: Eukaryota; Metazoa; Chordata; Hyperoartia; Petromyzontiformes; Petromyzontidae
Source: RefSeq, a predicted model, not a curated record
UCUACGAUCUAUGUUCUCCGUCCAAGAGAAGAAGUCACCAACACGUGGACGAGGACCCCAGCUAGGGUCCUGUCCGUUGUAGCUACUAACAAGCGUAGUUAGCCUGGUGGUCAACCACCAGAGGUUAUAACCCCUUUGUGUUACGUGUUGGUGUUAAUAAAUAUGUGUUGCCUCCAAGAAAGGGAGCAGCAAUCGGUUUCAUCGACAGAGACAACCAGGAUGUCUCGAGUCUGGACUUGAAUCGGGGGCAGGGAGUUGAGAGCACGAACGGCUGAGGGGGGAUGGGAGAUCCGCACUCUGGGAGCAGCACACAGUCAUCUGUGUGCUGUUAUUGGCACUAAUGUGCAGUGUUAAUACGGCAGCGACAUUUGGUACACAUUUACCACAUAUAAUCGAUCAAGUACCUGAGAAGAUGUUUACAUGUCCCAGGGCGUUCACUCCCCAAGAGGGGAGCGGUGGCACGGUGGUUAGCUCACUUUUCUAAGAACCCGGUAACCUGAGUUUGAAUCUUAGCUAUGGCUAGCAUUAUUGGCGAGUGAUAUCUCAACCAGUCCUAGCCCUCCCUUCGUCAACCCUCACUGACCAUUGUGGUGAGAUAUAGUACAUACGAAAUCCCAACAACUCGGCAUGUCGAGGUCUUCAUCCAGCAUCGGAGUGACAAGCUGCAAAUGAUUAUCCUUGAAUUAUAAACAGACAUGUAACCUCAAUGUGUGAUGGCCAGUUGGGCUUCGGUUGAAUGGUGAAGGUGUAGAGGCCACUGAGUACAUUCUAAUAAAACCACAGGAGGCCAUAUCUGGCACGAUGCUUGCAACAGGAAAUAAGGCUUUGUCAGGUACCCUUGAAACGUGAGCAGUCCUGUUUAUUGAGUACUCCCAAUUUCGUUUGUGAUAUCAGACUGACUACCACGAGUAAUACCUGAGAUCCAUUCGGUAUUGUCAAAAUCCAAAUGUUUGAAACCAUGCUGGAACAACAAUUAAAAUUGCGAUGAUUAUCAAUAUGCGGAAUGUCAAUUUAGAUAUUAUACAUGUGUAGUGUCGUAGGCUUCUGUGUGUGUGCAGGUGGCGUGCGGCGCACACAAACUCAGUUGGAAGCGAGGUAGUCGCAGGGGCCA